This 465-nucleotide ribosomal RNA is filed under the name uncultured Thermomicrobia bacterium. RNAcentral describes it as "bacterial SSU rRNA". It matches the Rfam family "Bacterial small subunit ribosomal RNA", at positions 224 to 704 of the family's 1533-position model. Lineage: Bacteria; Pseudomonadati; Thermomicrobiota; Thermomicrobia. The record is from RNAcentral.
GGUGGGCCCGCGACCUAUCAGCUUGUCGGUGGGGUAACGGCCUACCGAGGCUCUGACGGGUAGCUGGUCUGAGAGGACGACCAGCCACACGGGGACUGAGACACGGCCCCGACUCCUACGGGAGGCAGCAGUAAGGAAUCUUCCGCAAUGGGCGAAAGCCUGACGGAGCGACGCCGCGUGUGGGAUGAAGUCUCUCGGGAUGUAAACCACUGUCGGAGGGGAAGAGAAUGGACGGUACCCUCCAAGAAAGCCCCGGCUAACUACGUGCCGGCAGCCGCGGUAAUACGUAGGGGGCAAGCGUUACUCGGAUUCACUGGGCGUAAAGCGCGUGUAGGCGGCUGGUCAAGCGUGAUGUGAAAUCUCCGGGCUUAACCCGGAAACUGCAUCGCGAACUGGCCUGGCUGGAGUGCAGGAGAGGGAUGUGGAAUUCCCGGUGUAGCGGUGAAAUGCGUAGAUAUCGGGAGG